AAGGUUGAUAUUUUCUAGUUUACACGAAGAAGCUUAAUAUAUAGGAUUUGCAUUUACUAUUUGUUGAGUGUUUGACAUAAUUUCAGGAAAGAAGGCCAAGUUAAAAAGACAUGCAUAUGUAAUACAUCAUAUAAGGGACAUGAAAAAUACCACUUGGAUCCCGGGGAAGAUGUGUUACCUUCUGAUAAUUUUGGAGAAAUACAGGAAUGCUUCACAAAAGAUGUAGAAUUUUCUGGUUUCUUCACCUGAAGAAACAUUCCAGUUGUAAGAACUGUCAUGAAUAAAAACAUAAAGGCAAAAACACACCGAAGGUAAUGAAUAUAAUUUAUAACCAAAGCGUAAAUUUCUUUUGUAGUGGUGUUAGUCCACUAAGUCCAAUAAGAUAUGAGAUUGAAAAUAUAAUUGAGUAGGAUAUUUUAACACCCAGUAUUGACAAGCCUUGAAGACUUCCUCUACUUCUCAUCGUUGUCCCUCUUUGUCAAAUGUUAUAACUCCAUGAGCAAAAACCAUGUCUACAUUUGUAAAGAAAAAACAAAAAAUUGAGAAUAUGUAUAAAGUUUGCAUCCACUUGAAAAAAAUCGAUAGGGCUACAUAUUAAAUUAGUGGCAUAAAAUUAUUAAGCAUUUUACUGGCUUCAACACAUUUCGAUGUUUAAUUUUUAAAUCUCAUGUACAGCUAAGUGUUUAUGGAUACUCCUGGCCCUGCAUGGUAGCCAGAGUGUCGUCAGCUCAAAGCCACCAGGUGCUUCAAUCUUGGUUCAGUCUGCCUGCAGUCCAAUAAGGGACAUGAAAUCCAGAUUAUUUCUGUCUGAUGCACAACUCCUCAAACAGGCUCAGAAAACAAUCGCCAUCUUCACAUGUAAAUAUGUUCACCAUUCCUUCCCCAUCUCACCAACACAUAAUCCCCAAAAUAAAAUGACAUGUGAAAAUGAAAGUAACAGAGUGUAUUACCUUUCUAUGAGUACUUGAAAUCUUUAUUUAAAAUAAACUGGACAGAAAACAAAAAGGUACA
This 1011-nucleotide long non-coding RNA is filed under the name Felis catus (domestic cat). RNAcentral's name for it is "lncRNA (ENSFCAG00000048568.1)". Lineage: Eukaryota; Metazoa; Chordata; Mammalia; Carnivora; Felidae. The record is from RNAcentral.